RNAcentral lists this ribosomal RNA (726 nucleotides) under uncultured bacterium. RNAcentral describes it as "bacterial SSU rRNA". It matches the Rfam family "Bacterial small subunit ribosomal RNA", at positions 94 to 823 of the family's 1533-position model. The record is from RNAcentral.
AGCGGCGAACGGGUGAGUAACACGUAGGUGAUCUGCCCAUCAGACGGGGACAACGAUUGGAAACGAUCGCUAAUACCGGAUAGGACGAAAGUUUAAAGGUGCUUCUGGCACCGCUGAAGGAUGAGCCUGCGGCGCAUUAGCUAGUUGGUAGGGUAAAGGCCUACCAAGGCGACGAUGCGUAGCCGACCUAAGAGGGUGAACGGCCACACUGGGACUGAGACACGGCCCAGACUCCUACGGGAGGCAGCAGUAGGGAAUCUUCCACAAUGGACGCAAGUCUGAUGGAGCAACGCCGCGUGAGUGAAGAAGGUUUUCGGAUCGUAAAGCUCUGUUGUUGGUGAAGAAGGAUAGAGGUAGUAACUGGCCUUUAUUUGACGGUAAUCAACCAGAAAGUCACGGCUAACUACGUGCCAGCAGCCGCGGUAAUACGUAGGUGGCAAGCGUUGUCCGGAUUUAUUGGGCGUAAAGCGAGCGCAGGCGGAAAAAUAAGUCUAAUGUGAAAGCCCUCGGCUUAACCGAGGAACUGCAUCGGAAACUGUUUUUCUUGAGUGCAGAAGAGGAGAGUGGAACUCCAUGUGUAGCGGUGGAAUGCGUAGAUAUAUGGAAGAACACCAGUGGCGAAGGCGGCUCUCUGGUCUGCAACUGACGCUGAGGCUCGAAAGCAUGGGUAGCGAACAGGAUUAGAUACCCUGGUAGUCCAUGCCAUAAACGAUGAGUGCUAAGUGU